CAGCCGCCGCGGUAAUACGUAGGGUGCAAGCGUUAAUCGGAAUUACUGGGCGUAAAGCGUGCGCAGGCGGUUUGUUAAGACAGAUGUGAAAUCCCCGGGCUCAACCUGGGAACUGCAUUUGUGACUGGCAAGCUAGAGUAUGGCAGAGGGGGGUGGAAUUCCGCGUGUAGCAGUGAAAUGCGUAGAUAUGCGGAGGAACACCGAUGGCGAAGGCAGCCCCCUGGGCCAAUACUGACGCUUAUGCACGAAAGCGUGGGGAGCAAACAGGAUUAGAGACCCCAGUAGUCCCUGUCUCUUAUAC
This 301-nucleotide ribosomal RNA is filed under the name uncultured bacterium. RNAcentral's name for it is "partial 16S ribosomal RNA". It matches the Rfam family "Bacterial small subunit ribosomal RNA", at positions 509 to 807 of the family's 1533-position model. The record is from RNAcentral.